RNAcentral lists this ribosomal RNA (369 nucleotides) under uncultured bacterium. RNAcentral's name for it is "bacterial SSU rRNA". It matches the Rfam family "Bacterial small subunit ribosomal RNA", at positions 10 to 372 of the family's 1533-position model. The record is from RNAcentral.
AGUUUGAUCAUGGCUCAGAUUCACGGNUGGUAGCAGGCCUAACACAUGCAAGUCGAGCGGUAACAUUUCAAAAGCUUGCUUUUGAAGAUGACGAGCGGCGGACGGGUGAGUAAUGCCUGGGAAUUUGCCCAUUUGAGGGGGAUAACAGUUGGAAACGACUGCUAAUACCGCAUACGCCCUACGGGGGAAAGGAGGGGACCUUUUGGCCUUCCGCAAAUGGAUAAGCCCAGGUGGGAUUAGCUAGUAGGUGAGGUAAUGGCUCACCUAGGCGACGAUCCCUAGCUGUUCUGAGAGGAUGAUCAGCCACACUGGNGACUGAGACACGGCCCAGACUCCUACGGGAGGCAGCAGUGGGGAAUAUUGCACAAU